This 254-nucleotide ribosomal RNA is filed under the name uncultured bacterium. RNAcentral describes it as "partial 16S ribosomal RNA". It matches the Rfam family "Bacterial small subunit ribosomal RNA", at positions 524 to 776 of the family's 1533-position model. The record is from RNAcentral.
UACGUAGGCAGCAAGCGUUGUUCGGAUUUACUGGGCGUAAAGGGCGCGUAGGCGGUCAGCACAAGUCAGUUGUGAAAUCUCCGGGCUUAACUCGGAAAGGUCAACUGAUACUGUGCGACUAGAGUGCAGAAGGGGCAACUGGAAUUCUCGGUGUAGCGGUGAAAUGCGUAGAUAUCGAGAGGAACACCUGCGGCGAAGGCGGGUUGCUGGGCUGACACUGACGCUGAUGCGCGAAAGCCAGGGGAGCGAACGGG